UAGGGAAUCUUCGGCAAUGGACGGAAGUCUGACCGAGCAACGCCGCGUGAGUGAAGAAGGUUUUCGGAUCGUAAAGCUCUGUUGUAAGAGAAGAACGAGUGUGAGAGUGGAAAGUUCACACUGUGACGGUAUCUUACCAGAAAGGGACGGCUAACUACGUGCCAGCAGCCGCGGUAAUACGUAGGUCCCGAGCGUUAUCCGGAUUUAUUGGGCGUAAGGCGAGCGCAGGCGGUUAGAUAAGUCUGAAGUUAAAGGCUGUGGCUUAACCAUAGUACGCUUUGGAAACUGUUUAACUUGAGUGCAGAAGGGGAGAGUGGAAUUCCAUGUGUAGCGGUGAAAUGCGUAGAUAUAUGGAGGAACACCGGUGGCGAAAGCGGCUCUCUGGUCUGUAACUGACGCUGAGGCUCGAAAGCGUGGGGAGCAAACAGGAUUAGAUACCCUGGUAGUCCACGCCGUAACGAUGAGUGCUAGGUGUUGGGUCCUUUCCGGGACUCAGUGCCGCAGCUAACGCAUUAAGCACUCCGCCUGGGGAGUACGACCGCAAGGUUG
RNAcentral lists this ribosomal RNA (549 nucleotides) under uncultured bacterium. RNAcentral's name for it is "bacterial SSU rRNA". It matches the Rfam family "Bacterial small subunit ribosomal RNA", at positions 355 to 896 of the family's 1533-position model. The record is from RNAcentral.